CCUAUGAACUUUAAAUUCUAGUUUUAUUCUUUGAGAAAUUUUAAAUUAUGGAACAGGAAGGAAGGUCAGGACAACUCGGGGAAUCUUUGGAAACAUCAUCUUCAAGUUCAAGCUCCUCUAGAACUGCUGGAGACUCUAGUAAAAUGCUGGAGGUUGCAGAGGAGAAGAUCCUGGUGGAUAUAGAGAAGGAGAAGAAUAUGCCAAUCAGUUAGGAGCCCUGUCUUGUGCAAGAACUGCAUGGCUGCAAACUUCAGAUGCCGCAUGUGGCCUGGAUCAUUCUCUACUGAUUUUCUGUAAAUAUUUACUGGUGAUGGUACGCUAUUGAACGGUGGAAGCAACAUAUAUGGUCAGUUGAGGGAGCCAUGAAAGGGUCAAAAAUGCUGCCGGUCGACAUAAGUUUCGAGCCUGUAUCUAUAUCAUCGGGUCUUGGACAUUCUUUAGUAGUGUGCUGGAUUCGUCACCUGAGGUUGUAGGAGAUGACACAAGUGUGCUUACAUGAGGAUGGAAUUGGACUUAUCAACUUGGACACAACGGGGGAACCAGAAAAUUUUUCAGCACCAGUCCAAAUGCUGGAAGGAGAAAGGCCAGUCACAGCAUCUGGCGGACAUGCCCGUUCCAUUCCUCAGUUGUUGAAGCUGAGCCGCCAGCAUUGGUGGAUUGCUUGACUGGCUUUGAAGUCCAGCAUUGGUGGACUGGCUUUGAAGUUCUGCAGGCUAUGGCAGGUUUUGAUUAUACUCUAGUCAGCAUCUCCAAUUAGCAGCAAAGUGUAAAAGCUAGAACAAGCUGCUUCUAGUUUUUCUUGUUUAUUCACUCCAAAAUGAAUACUCUCCUAAAAUUCUAU
This is a long non-coding RNA of Magnolia sinica, 841 nucleotides long. RefSeq lists it as uncharacterized. The transcript has 2 exons. The record is from RefSeq and is a predicted model, not a curated record. Lineage: Eukaryota; Viridiplantae; Streptophyta; Magnoliopsida; Magnoliales; Magnoliaceae.